Molecule: ribosomal RNA, 865 nt
Filed under: uncultured Acidobacteriota bacterium
Lineage: Bacteria; Pseudomonadati; Acidobacteriota
Description: bacterial SSU rRNA
Rfam family: Bacterial small subunit ribosomal RNA
Source: RNAcentral
CAAGUCGAGUGCGCGUCUGUAGCAAUACAGAUGGCGCACGGCGCACGGGUGCGUAACACGUGGGCAAUCUGCCCUUCGAUGGGGAAUAACUCCGGGAAACCGAAGCUAAUUCCGCAUAACAUUCCUUGGACUUCGGUUCGAGGAUUCAAAGCCGUAAGGCGUCGAAGGAGGAGCCCGCGCCCGAUUAGCUAGUUGGUGAGGUAACGGCUCACCAAGGCAAUGAUCGGUAGCUGGUCUGAGAAGAUGGCCAGCCACACUGGAACUGAGACACGGUCCAGACUCCUACGGGAGGCAGCAGUGGGGAAUCUUGCGCAAUGGGCGAAAGCCUGACGCAGCGACGCCGCGUGGGGGAUGAAGCAUUUCGGUGUGUAAACCCCUUUCGACUGGGACGAAUGCCUCGCAAGAGGAGUGACGGUACCAGUAGAAGAAGCCCCGGCUAACUACGUGCCAGCAGCCGCGGUAAGACGUAGGGGGCCAGCGUUGUUCGGAAUUACUGGGUGUAAAGGGUUCGUAGGCGGUGUGGCAAGUCGGGAGUGAAAUCUAUGGGCUUAACUCAUAGGCUGCUUCCGAAACUGCUGUGCUUGAGUGUGGGAGAGGCGCGUGGAAUUGCAGGUGUAGCGGUGAAAUGCGUAGAUAUCUGCAGGAACACCCGUGGCGAAAGCGGCGCGCUGGACCACAACUGACGCUGAGGAACGAAAGCUAGGGGAGCAAACAGGAUUAGAUACCCUGGUAGUCCUAGCCCUAAACGAUCAGGACUUGGGGUGCCACCCGUUCGGGUGUCGUCCCGGAGCUAACGCGUUAAGUCCUGCACCUGGGGAGUACGGUCGCAAGACUGAAACUCAAAGGAAUUGACGGGGGCCCGCAC